GAACCCUCGUCUCGCCCCCCUUGCACAACAACUCCUAUGUGGCUUUGCCCGACCUAGACACCGAGCCGGCCAGCCGCCUCGCCGUCGUGGCUUCGCCGUUGGCCGGCCGGAGCCCAGAGUUCAGCCGCCUAGGAGGCUCCCUCCUUCCCUUCCCAUCUUCCUGCUCGGCCGCCCGCCCGGUCCGCGCCCCUGCCCUGCGCGCGGCUGCGCCCCUGCAGUCCUGGCGUCCCGCCUCCCUUUCCCGGCGUCCCGUCGGCCCGGCCGCCCCCUUGCAAAUCCCCACCACGACGGCAAACCCCUGACCGAUUUAAGAAAGGCAUUUUUAUUACAAAAUUAUUGAAGAACGAUGAGGGCCGGAGACAUUGUUUCUCUUUUCCAGAGAGAAACUAUUAAGAUAGGGAAGAAGAAGAAGGCAGGGAAUAUGCCGGAUGUGGCUGAAGAGCAAACCAGAGAACUUGUGUGUAUGCGGUUGUGAUUGAAGAGCAAACUCAUGAACCAAUAGUGUUUAUGUCGAAUGUGACCAUAGAGCAAAAGCAUAGGCCAGAAACAUAGUCUUUUUGAACUUCUCAAGGUAUGUACUAUGGUCCAUGUAGUAUUUACUAUGUAG
Molecule: ribosomal RNA, 607 nt
Filed under: Triticum aestivum (bread wheat)
Lineage: Eukaryota; Viridiplantae; Streptophyta; Magnoliopsida; Poales; Poaceae
Description: partial small subunit ribosomal RNA
Source: RNAcentral